AUCUUUAGCACUCUCUGCUGCUCCUGGAGGCUGCUUUUAACUGCAUGCUUUAGCUUAGAGACAGCCAACAUCAUCACUGAGCACACUGAUUUCAGCAGCAGCCAAGCACUGAGCAGUGGCAGAGCUUGCAGGAAGCCAAGGUUAACUGCAAAGUUUUGGAAAAAGGUUCCACUACUAAAAGCAACUGGAAAGCACUGGGUACCUGGAUGGUGGUUUUUCUUUGUGACAGUUUGUUUUUGUCAUAGUGAAAAGGGCUGUUAAAGGAAAAAUGCCCAUAUAAUUUCCAUCAGCGACAGUUUGAUCAGUUCCAUUUUUAUUAAAUGCUUCCUUCAUUUUAAUAUUUGCAUAUCUAAUUUUUAUGCUGACAUGUACAUUUCUGUUAUCUUCUAUCAACAUGUUGCUAUUUGUCUCUAUAAUAAAGGAAUUAUUUUUCCUGUG
Molecule: long non-coding RNA, 438 nt
Organism: Gavialis gangeticus (Gharial)
Lineage: Eukaryota; Metazoa; Chordata; Crocodylia; Gavialidae
Exons: 2
Source: RefSeq, a predicted model, not a curated record